UGUUAUUUCUACAACAUAUGUUGGCUUAUUAAUAUGUUAGAUGAUGACAUAUCUUUCGGCUGGUGUAUAAUUGAUUAGUAGACUGCUAUAUUGAUAUAUUUGGUUGCUUUAAACAGCUUUUGUUCCUUGAGCUGAAUGAUAGUUGUUCUUUGGUUUAGGCAUAGCUGGUUUUGAGAUAUUUCUGGCAUGCUGUCAUUUCACCUUCUAGUUAUUGCAGUUGGUUUGAUAGUGCUUAUGUUUAUUUUUUGCUGGAAAAUAUGUGCUGUUAAAUUUGCAACAAUGACAAAAAUUACAAAUGCUCAGUUGGAAAUAAUUUGAGAUUUAUGAGAUGAAUGAUACUUGUUAUGUGGUUUAGGCAUAACUGCUUUUGUUCUUUGAGCUGAAUGAUAGUUGUUCUUUACUUUAGGCAUAGCUGGUUUGUAGAUAUUUCUGGAAUGCUAUCAUUUCACAUUUUUGAAUUUGGAUUGAUAGUGUUUUUGUUUAUUUUGCCUGGAAAAUAUGUGCUGUUAUAUUUGCAACUACGACAAAAAUUAGGUGUGCUCAACUGGAAAUAAUUUGAGGAAUUGUGAGAUGAAUGAUACUUGUUAUGUGGUUUAGGCAUAGCUUCUUUUGUACCUGGAAAGAUGUCAAAAUAUAGGUGUGCUCAGUUGGAAAUAAUUUGAGAUUUAUGAGCUGAAUGAUAACUGUUCUAUGGUUUAGGCAUAGCUACUUUUGUUCCUGGAAAUAUGUCAUUUCACAUUCUAUUUACUGCAUUUGGAUUGACAGUGCUAAUGUCUAUUUGCAAAUAGGAUUCACCACAUACUUCGUGGCUUGUGUUUUUAAUGUCUGGGAGGGAAAGUCUUCGUGUUAGUGACAUAUGCUUCCUGUUGUUACAAGAGAUUUUGCGUGAGCACUUCCUUCAGUUGGUGAUUGUGAUUGCAUAUUAUGUUAAGGCUACAUCAAAAAAAAGAAAGCGUGCUGAAACGACCCUAAAAUACGAGUUGUUGAGCAGGAUAAACGACCAAGAAAAACAUUUAACUCGAUUGGUCGGCGUAAGUGAUGUAGACUGUAUUUCGAACCUACGUAUGGAUCGUAGAACUUUUGCUAGACUGUGUAUGAUUUUACGUGAGCGGGGGGGUCUAGUUGAUGGCCGGUUCGUUACCGUUGAAGAACAAAUAGCAAUGUUCCUUUCAAUUUUAGCACAUCAUAAAUAAAAUAGGGUCGUGAGAUUUGAUUUCUGGAGAUCCGGCCAAACAAUCUCGCAUUAUGUACAUGCGGUCUUAGCGGCGAUUCUACGGAUACACGAUGUGUUUUUAGCCAAGCCCGAGGCUGUGCCCGAUACUAGCACGGAUCCACGAUGGCGGUGGUUUAAGGGUUGUUUAGGUGCCUUAGAUGGCACUUAUAUCAGUGUCAUGGUUGGCAAUGAGGAUAAACCCCGAUACAGAACACGAAAAGGUCAAAUAUCAACAAAUGUUCUAGGCGUCUGUGACCGAAACUUGAAUUUCACUUAUAUACUCACUGGUUGGGAAGGAUCAGCGGCAGACUCUCGAAUCUUACGAGAUGCCAUUAACCGACCUCAUGGCCUUAAGGUCCCAAAGGGGAGGUACUAUUUGUGUGACAACGGUUACGCGAAUAGUGAUGGUUUUCUAACGCCCUACAGAGGUGUUAGAUACCAUUUGAAGGAGUGGGGUCCAAAUGCUGCAAGACCACAGAAUAAAGAGGAAUUGUUUAACUUGAGACAUAGUAAGGCUCGUAACGCGAUAGAAAGAGCCUUCGGCAUUUUGAAGAUGAGAUGGGGUAUUCUUCGUUCUCCGUCCUUUUAUCCAAUCAAAGUCCAAAAUAGACUUAUUAUGGCUGCCUUUCUACUCAAUAAUUUUGUUCGGAUGGAGAUGCCCUUUGACCCCAUAGAACAAGAGUUUGAAGCUACGGCUCAAGAGAAUGGCUCCGGCAUAGUCGUAGAGACCGAUGAAUUCAUAGAUACCGUUGAGUGUUCUCCACAAUGGAACGCGGCGAGGAAUGACUUAGCCGAAUCUAUGUGGCUGCAAUAUUUGAAUAACGUUUAGGAUGGACGCCGCAUCCGAAGUAUCAACACCAACCCCUCCAUGCAGCUGUGGCAACGGAAACAUGAACUUAAAGUGCGCUGGUUAUGGUUCAAGAAACCCCGGGCGAUUCUACUACAAAUGUCCAUUGGGUGGGGUCCGUGGGGAUCACCCGAAGGGAUUCAUCUGGUACGACGAAUACCAUGGACUUGGAGUUAGAAGGCUGCCGCAAUCUCCUGGAUCUUCUCAAAAUCGUGGUUUCCAGCAGCCGUUUCCAUCUCAUCCACUAGCACCUAACAUGUUCGUGGCUGCCGGAGAUUCUGAUUUGCAGGGCAACGGUUGGAACUCAGCCCGUGGGUAUCUGGACACUAUCAGCGCCGUUAUUUGUUUCACUAUACUUAUUCUUAUUGUUGGCAUUACAAUAGGUAAAUUUAUGUGAGGGGAUUUGAUGGUGAUAGUUCGAGCAGUGUCCUUUUCUUUUGAUUAUGAUACUUGGUUUUACUUUAGCCUAAAUUGAAGUACUCGUGGGCUGACUAAUGUUGUGAUAACUUUUGUUGUGAUGGAGAUUGUUUGGUGGAGACAUUUUCUUUCAGUUAUGUUAUUAAUUUGACAUUAUGGUAUCUUACUUUUGCAAUGGAAUAGAAAUGAAUUGUUGGUCUGCGAUUUUUCCUUGUUUUUCUUGGAAAAAUAUAUUUGAAUUAAAGCAUAUUUGAUUUAUGUUUAUUUAUUAUGGCUACCUUUGUACUCCUUCCCAUAUUUAUUGCAAUUCUUUGAUUUCCCAUGCGUGUGCAUGGGAAAUAUACUGCAGUUCUUUGGUCAGCAUUAAUUGGUGGUAAUUCAAAGUGACAACAAAAAACUAUUGGUACUUCAUCUAUCUAGGAGUAUCUUUUUGUUGACCAAUUUUGUGGUCUAAUAUAGCAUUAACAACAGGUGUCUUUGCAUUUGAUGGGGCGUUGACAGCUAACCCCCAACCUCCCAACAACAAUUUUAUUUAUUGCUCCAUUCCUCAUCUCUAUGCAUCAAGCCAUCUAUAAAAGACCAUAAUUCACGUAUAGAGAGUUCAAAAAAUACAAGACGACCAACACAGAAAAAAACUUCUCAAAACACAACCACCCCUCAAUCUCGCAUCAUGCUCCCUGAAGUUGGCCCCCAAUCGCUGUUUUUUUAUGUCAACAAAUGGGAUGAGACCAAGGAUAAGAUGCUCUUACAAUGUCUUAUCGAAAAAAUCGAGGAAUGUAGCCCAUCUCCACCACAUCUCUCUCCACAUGCAUUGAUUUAUGCGAUGAAGACGCUGAAUUCGCAAUUGAAUGCGGGUGUGUCCCUUGUUCAAGUCGAGGGACGAGUAGACUUCCUCCAUGAUCGGUAUGUGUGUUUCAAGUACUUGUGCAAUCGGCGCGAAACCGAUUGGGAUAAGCAUUCAAACAUGAUUCAUGCCGAUGAUAAAGUGUGGAAAAAGCUAUUCAAGGAAAAUAAACUCUUCCAAGCGUAUUAUCGUAACGGUGAGCCCGAGUACAUUCAAAUGUGCUCCUUGUUCGGCCGUCACGACGUCAAGAGAGAGCUGUCUCAUACCGUCAUCCUUAUUGAAGACUCUUCAACCGUUAAGAAACAAGCCGAAGACUCAAGCGAAGACGAGGUAACCUCGCCUAUAAUGAAACCCAAACGAGUUGUGCCUAGGAAGAAGCUCUUUGUAGAGGAUGCUUGUUCUAGCGUGGAGCCGUCUUUCCCCACGCCAUUCAAGGCUCAAGUGCAUGUCCCAUGGUCGCCAAUUAAAAAAAAGUUUGCUAAACCAAUAAGCUCUAACUUUCCUGCUGCAAAUGAUUUUCCGAUGAAGCCGAAGGAUGACCAAAAUCCCAAUGUCGGGUAUGGUGGAAGCUCUUGCGCAUCAUCUUCUCCUUUUAAAUAAACCAAUUAACGCUGGCCUAUAUCUUUUGUCGAUGUGCUAGAAUUGGGCUUCCAUGAUAAACUAUUGCACUGCUAGAAUUUUCUCUUCCAAGUUUGCUUUCUAUGUUUUUGUUAUUUCUUUUGUCAUCACUGCAUCUUAUUGUUUGGUCGAAGUUCUAAUGAAAUUUGUGUUUCUCCUUU
This is a long non-coding RNA of Salvia miltiorrhiza (redroot sage), 4100 nucleotides long. RefSeq lists it as uncharacterized. NCBI's taxonomy places the organism in Eukaryota, Viridiplantae, Streptophyta, Magnoliopsida, Lamiales, Lamiaceae. The transcript has 5 exons. The record is from RefSeq and is a predicted model, not a curated record.